UACGUAGGGGGCGAGCGUUGUCCGGAUUUACUGGGCGUAAAGCGCGUGUAGGCGGCGGCUUAAGUCGGGUGUGAAAGCCCGGGGCUCAACCCCGGGAUGCCGCUCGAGACUGGGUCGCUUGAGGACGGAAGAGGGGCGUGGAAUUCCUGGUGUAGCGGUGAAAUGCGUAGAGAUCAGGAGGAACACCCGUGGCGAAGGCGGCGCCCUGGUCCGUUACUGACGCUGAGACGCGAAAGCGCGGGGAGCGAACGGG
RNAcentral lists this ribosomal RNA (253 nucleotides) under uncultured bacterium. RNAcentral describes it as "partial 16S ribosomal RNA". It matches the Rfam family "Bacterial small subunit ribosomal RNA", at positions 524 to 776 of the family's 1533-position model. The record is from RNAcentral.